GAUGAACGCUAGCGGCAGGCCUAAUACAUGCAAGUCAAGGGGCCAGCAAUGGCACCGGCGCACGGGUGCGUAACACGUACACAACAUACCUUUAAGUGGGAGAUAGCAUCGGGAAACUGGUGGUAAUACCCCAUAAUAUUGCGAUGCGGCAUCACAUUGCAAUUAAAGUUUCGACGCUUAAAGAUUGGUGUGCGUCCGAUUAGCUAGUUGGCGGGGUAACGGCCCACCAAGGCUACGAUCGGUAGGGGGUGUGAGAGCAUGACCCCCCACAUGGGUACUGAGACACGGACCCAACUCCUACGGGAGGCAGCAGUAAGGAAUAUUGGACAAUGGACGAAAGUCUGAUCCAGCCAUGCCGCGUGCAGGAUGAAGGCGCUCAGCGUUGUAAACUUCUUUUGGAUGGGAAUAAUAAUGUCGACGUGCUCGGCACUUGAAGGUACCAUCAGAAUAAGCACCGGCUAACUCCGUGCCAGCAGCCGCGGUAAAGUG
Molecule: ribosomal RNA, 489 nt
Filed under: uncultured bacterium
Lineage: Bacteria
Description: bacterial SSU rRNA
Rfam family: Bacterial small subunit ribosomal RNA
Source: RNAcentral